GUCUGUAGGAAAAUUUUAAUAUUAUUUUCACAUAUUUGUUGAGCAUGCGACUAACAGCAAAAGUAGGCGAGAAACUGGGUUCCGCAAAACCCUUACAAUUUUAAAUCUGAAUACAUGCGUAACCUAUCUCCAGCUAGGGGUUGAAUUGAAACCGAAUUGAAGGUCACAUUAAUACGUAUUCAAUGAGGUCCAAUAAUUCACUUACAAGUGCACAACUCAUCAACCAGGUUUCUCAGCUUAUUUUAGUAAAAAAACCAAAAACAUAUUUUUUUUUGUAUAUCUUGUAGCUAAUGCUCCUAUAACAAAAAGGUACAUUUUAGGCUGGUCCCUUUUUGAGAGUACUCACUGAUCUUCUAUAGUUGGUAUUACCAUAACUUUUGAUCAGCUGACCAUAUUACAACACUGUUUUAACAGUUAGUAAAUAGGUGUAAAAAUUCAUUUUAAAAUUAGUAAUUACUGGUAAUAACUGGUCUGUUUCAGGAAUUACUUGUAUUUACUAAGUGC
Molecule: long non-coding RNA, 504 nt
Filed under: Mytilus galloprovincialis (Mediterranean mussel)
Lineage: Eukaryota; Metazoa; Mollusca; Bivalvia; Mytilida; Mytilidae
Source: RNAcentral